This 265-nucleotide non-coding RNA is filed under the name Streptomyces afghaniensis 772. RNAcentral's name for it is "Bacterial large subunit ribosomal RNA". It matches the Rfam family "Bacterial large subunit ribosomal RNA", at positions 2085 to 2350 of the family's 2925-position model. The record is from Rfam by way of RNAcentral. Lineage: Bacteria; Bacillati; Actinomycetota; Actinomycetes; Kitasatosporales; Streptomycetaceae.
AAGACCCCGGGACCUUUACUACAGUUUGAUAUUGGUGUUCGGUUCGACUUGUGUAGGAUAGCUGGGAGACUGUGAAGCGCUAACGCCAGUUAGUGUGGAGUCGUCGUUGAAAUACCAGUCUGGUCGUGCUGGAUGUCUAACCUGGGUCCGUGAUCCGGAUCAGGGACAGUGUCUGAUGGGUAGUUUAACUGGGGCGGUUGCCUCCUAAAGAGUAACGGAGGCGCCCAAAGGUUCCCUCAGCCUGGUUGGCAAUCAGGUGUUGAGU